Molecule: ribosomal RNA, 253 nt
Filed under: uncultured bacterium
Lineage: Bacteria
Description: partial 16S ribosomal RNA
Rfam family: Bacterial small subunit ribosomal RNA
Source: RNAcentral
GACGAACCGUACGAACGUUAUUCGGAAUCACUGGGCUUAAAGGGUGCGUAGGCGGCGCGACAAGUUGGGUGUGAAAUCCCUCGGCUCAACCGAGGAACUGCGCCCAAAACUGUCGUGCUCGAGGGAGACAGAGGUGAGCGGAACUUAGGGUGGAGCGGUGAAAUGCGUUGAUAUCCUAAGGAACACCGGUGGCGAAAGCGGCUCACUGGGUCUCUUCUGACGCUGAGGAGCGAAAGCGUGGGGAGCGAACAGG